AAGUCGUAACAAGGUUUCCGUAGGUGAACCUGCGGAAGGAUCAUUACCGAGUUAGGGUCUUCCAGGCCCGACCUCCAACCCUGUGUCUAAACUACUAUGUUGCUUUGGCGGGCCCGCCUCUAGGGGCCGCCGGGGUCUUACUACCCCUGGCCAGCGCCCGUCAGUAGCCUUCUGGAAACUCUUUAUAACCGUGUCGUCUGAGUAUAAAUUUAAAUCGUUAAAA
This 223-nucleotide unclassified non-coding RNA is filed under the name plant metagenome. Its description in RNAcentral is "partial contains small subunit ribosomal RNA and internal transcribed spacer 1". The stretch from base 1 to 46 matches the Rfam family "Eukaryotic small subunit ribosomal RNA", at positions 1786 to 1831 of the family's 1831-position model. The record is from RNAcentral.